RNAcentral lists this ribosomal RNA (253 nucleotides) under uncultured bacterium. RNAcentral's name for it is "partial 16S ribosomal RNA". It matches the Rfam family "Bacterial small subunit ribosomal RNA", at positions 524 to 776 of the family's 1533-position model. The record is from RNAcentral.
UACGUAGGGUGCGAGCGUUAAUCGGAAUUACUGGGCGUAAAGCGUGCGUAGGUGGUUCGUUGUGUCUGUGGUGAAAGCCCCGGGCUUAACCUGGGAAUGGCCAUGGAAACUGGCGAGCUGGAGUGUGGCAGAGGGGGGUGGAAUUCCGCGUGUAGCAGUGAAAUGCGUAGAGAUGCGGAGGAACACCGAUGGCGAGGGCAGCCCCCUGGGCUAACACUGACGCUGAGGCACGAAAGCGUGGGGAGCAAACAGG